RNAcentral lists this non-coding RNA (31 nucleotides) under Mus musculus (house mouse). Lineage: Eukaryota; Metazoa; Chordata; Mammalia; Rodentia; Muridae. The record is from RNAcentral.
GGAAAUAUAAAACUUAGCUAUUUCAGAUUGG